CAGUCGCCGCGGGAAUACGUGGGUGGCAAGCGUUGUCCGGAAUUAUUGGGCGUAAAGGGCUCGCAGGCGGUUUCUUAAGUCUGAUGUGAAAGCCCCCGGCUCAACCGGGGAGGGUCAUUGGAAACUGGGAAACUUGAGUGCAGAAGAGGAGAGUGGAAUUCCACGUGUAGCGGUGAAAUGCGUAGAGAUGUGGAGGAACACCAGUGGCGAAGGCGACUCUCUGGUCUGUAACUGACGCUGAGGAGCGAAAGCGUGGGGAGCGAACAGGAUUAGAUACCCCAGUAGUCCCUGUCUCUUAUAC
RNAcentral lists this ribosomal RNA (301 nucleotides) under uncultured bacterium. Its description in RNAcentral is "partial 16S ribosomal RNA". It matches the Rfam family "Bacterial small subunit ribosomal RNA", at positions 509 to 807 of the family's 1533-position model. The record is from RNAcentral.